UGGUCCCAGCCUUGAAGUCAGUUAUUACUUAAUAUACACAUGCAAGUCUCCGCACCCCUGUGAAAACGCCCUUCUAACCCUCUAAUGGAAAAGGAGCUGGUAUCAGGCACAAAACAAGCCCACGACACCUAGCCACGCCACACCUACACAGGUCCUCAGCAGUGAUUAACAUUGAACAUAAGUGUAAACUUGAACCAGUUAAAGUAAAAAGAGCCGGCAAAUCUGGUGCCAGCCGCCGCGGUUACACCACGUGGCUCAAAUUGACCUCCUUCGGCGUAAAGCGUGAUUAAAGUAACCUCUUACUGCAAUUAAACUUGAAUUAAGUCGUAAAACGCUUAUUCUCAGGAAAACCAAAAACGAAAGUUAUUGCAAUCAACACUGAACUCACGACAGCUAAGAUACAAACUGGGAUUAGAUACCCCACUAUGCUUAGCCGUAAACUUUUAUUUACACCCCUAUCGCCCGGGAACUACGAGCAAAGCUUAAAACCCAAGGGACUUGACGGUACCCCACAUCCACCUAGAGGAGCCUGUCCUAUAAUCGAUGAUCCACGUUUAACCUCACCAUUUUUUGUUUAUCAGCCUGUAUACCUCCGUCGUCAGCUUACCCCGUGAGCGCCAACUAGUGAGCCUAAUUACCCAGCGCUAAUACGUCAGGUCAAGGUGCAGCAUAUGAAGUGGGAAGAGAUGGGCUACACUAUCUACUUUAGAUAAUACGAAAGACUAUAUAUGAAACCUAGUCGGAAGGCGGAUUUAGAAGUAAAGAAAAACCAAAAUGCUUUCUUUAACAAGGCACUGGGGUGUGUACACACCGCCCGUCACCCUCUUCGAAGCUCAUAUUAAGUCCAUAACUCAACUCAGCACCCUAGAAGAGGCAAGUCGUAACAUGGUAAGCGUACCGGAAGGUGUGCUUGGAAA
RNAcentral lists this non-coding RNA (917 nucleotides) under Dendropsophus haraldschultzi. Its description in RNAcentral is "partial 12S ribosomal RNA". It matches the Rfam family "Bacterial small subunit ribosomal RNA". The record is from RNAcentral. Lineage: Eukaryota; Metazoa; Chordata; Amphibia; Anura; Hylidae.